AUUGAACGCUGGCGGCAGGCCUAACACAUGCAAGUCGAACGAGUGGCGGACGGGUGCGUAAUGUCUGGGAAACUGCCUGAUGGAGGGGGAUAACUACUGGAAACGGUAGCUAAUACCGCAUACCCUACGAUGUGCCCCGAUGGGAUAGUCUCGUAGGUGGGGUAACGGCUCACCUAGGCGACGAUCCCUAGCUGGUCUGAGAGGAUGACCAGCCACACUGGAACUGAGACACGGUCCAGACUCCUACGGGAGGCAGCAGUGGGGAAUAUUGCACAAUGGGCGCAAGCCUGAUGCAGCCAUGCCGCGUGUAUGAAGAAGGCCUUCGGGUUGUAAAGUACUUUCAGCGGGGAGGCGUUACCCGCAGAAGAAGCACCGGCUAACUCCGUGCCAGCAGCCGCGGUAAUUC
Molecule: ribosomal RNA, 406 nt
Filed under: uncultured bacterium
Lineage: Bacteria
Description: partial 16S ribosomal RNA
Rfam family: Bacterial small subunit ribosomal RNA
Source: RNAcentral